This is a non-coding RNA of Trichobilharzia regenti, 47 nucleotides long. The record is from Rfam. Lineage: Eukaryota; Metazoa; Platyhelminthes; Trematoda; Strigeidida; Schistosomatidae.
AUACUGAUGAAGAGUCCCAAACUAGGACGAAACGACUGUCCAGUGAU